RNAcentral lists this ribosomal RNA (301 nucleotides) under uncultured bacterium. RNAcentral's name for it is "partial 16S ribosomal RNA". It matches the Rfam family "Bacterial small subunit ribosomal RNA", at positions 509 to 807 of the family's 1533-position model. The record is from RNAcentral.
CAGUCGCCGCGGGAAUACGAAGGGUGCAAGCGUUAAUCGGAAUUACUGGGCGUAAAGCGUGCGUAGGCGGUUUGUUAAGUCUGCUGUGAAAUCCCCGGGCUCAACCUGGGAAUGGCAGUGGAUACUGGCAAGCUAGAGUGUGUCAGAGGAUGGUGGAAUUCCCGGUGUAGCGGUGAAAUGCGUAGAGAUCGGGAGGAACAUCAGUGGCGAAGGCGGCCAUCUGGGACAACACUGACACUGAGGCACGAAAGCGUGGGGAGCAAACAGGAUUAGAUACCCCCGUAGUCCCUGUCUCUUAUAC